AAGCUACGCGAAGAACCUUACCAGGUCUUGACAUCUUGCGCCAACCCUAGAGAUAGGGCGUUUCCUUCGGGAACGCAAUGACAGGUGGUGCAUGGUCGUCGUCAGCUCGUGUCGUGAGAUGUUGGGUUAAGUCCCGCAACGAGCGCAACCCUUGUUACUAGUUGCCAGCAUUAAGUUGGGCACUCUAGUGAGACUGCCGGUGACAAACCGGAGGAAGGUGGGGACGACGUCAGAUCAUCAUGCCCCUUAUGACCUGGGCUACACACGUGCUACAAUGGACGGUACAACGAGUCGCGAACUCGCGAGGGCAAGCAAAUCUCUUAAAACCGUUCUCAGUUCGGACUGCAGGCUGCAACUCGCCUGCACGAAGUCGGAAUCGCUAGUAAUCGCGGAUCAGCAUGCCGCGGUGAAUACGUUCCCGGGCCUUGUACACACCGCCCGUCACACCAUGAGA
RNAcentral lists this ribosomal RNA (454 nucleotides) under Limosilactobacillus fermentum. Its description in RNAcentral is "bacterial SSU rRNA". It matches the Rfam family "Bacterial small subunit ribosomal RNA", at positions 954 to 1409 of the family's 1533-position model. The record is from RNAcentral. Lineage: Bacteria; Bacillati; Bacillota; Bacilli; Lactobacillales; Lactobacillaceae.